GGUGGUAAGGGGGCUAGGGGUAGAAGGGACCUAGGUUAGCGGCGGCCUGGAGGCGGACUUCGCCCUGCGGCGGUGGCGUAGCGGGCGGUCAGGGGAUGGUGUAGGCGGCAGCGGGUGGUGGCGUCCGUGACGGGGUUGGUGGAGGCGGUGACGGGAGGUAGGGCUGGUGGGGGCGAUGCGCGGGUCGGCUAAGUCGGGUAGCUGCCGGAAGGAGGGCAAGGGGUGACGCCGUCACCGGAGGAAGGCGGGAGUUGGCGACAGAAGCGCUGGACGAGGUCCCGCGGCGGUGGCGGCGCUGGACGGGGCUCCGCGACGGCGGCGUCGCUGGACGGGGUCCCGAGGCGGCGGCGGCAGAUGCACUACGACGAAGCUGCGGGUCUCAACGGGGCGGAGUCCGGCUGUAGGGGACGCGCGACGGUGACUAACCACCGUACCAGCGCGCAGCGGACGUAGCAGACGGUGCGAGCCGUGGAGGACUCGCAACCUCACUUCUCGUAAAAGAAGUCCAGUCACCUUCGUGGGAGUGGGACUAGGUUAGACGUCGUCGCGGGGCUCAGGAGGGUUUCCUCGGGACUCGGCAAGUUCAUGCGUCGGGGUCCGGCAAGUUGCUGCCUCGACGGCUGGCAAGCAAUUGUGAUGUGGGGCCUAGGACGACGGGUGGUAGUUCAAGUUGAAGACAACUUAGGACAUUUCCCUCUGAAUAACACAACUAGGACCACGAACAGCGGUAAGCACUCCUUUCUGUCAGCCAGAAACUUGCCACAAGUCCGUUAUACUACCGCGUCGAUGACGUCGUAGUUGCUGUUGUCGCGCCGCGAGGACCACGAGGAGAGAGAGACGACGGAACGUACGACGCUACGGUGGCGGAGGCUCACUCCUUUUUAAGAUCGAGUACUUGCUUGGACUUCUUCGAGAUUACGCUACCACGAUAAGAGAUAUCAAUAAACAAAGAGCACUUACGUAAACCAACACCGACUACCUAGAGAUAGAAUUAUAUAAGAAACGAAAUUAACACGGGUACAUUACACCAACUUCUCCUUUAGAACUCAAUUGACUUCAGGUUGAUAAUACAACCUGUUCCAAGUAGAUGAAGCACCAACCGUUUUAAGCUGGG
RNAcentral lists this ribosomal RNA (1114 nucleotides) under Triticum aestivum (bread wheat). Its description in RNAcentral is "partial small subunit ribosomal RNA". Lineage: Eukaryota; Viridiplantae; Streptophyta; Magnoliopsida; Poales; Poaceae. The record is from RNAcentral.